CAAACCUCCCUGCAAAACACUCUCAUCCGAACGACUCCAUCAGCAAAUCCAACAACACCUCGAAGAGAUCCCCCAGCUGCUGCUGCUGCAGGAGACAACACUGAGUUACACGCGACAAGCACCCCUCCAUCAAACGCCCUUGAUGCAAUCCAGAGAAGACCCAACCUUGUUGAACUAUGUUCUACUCUUGAGAAAUUCCACCAAGUAAUUCCGAUUCUUGUCAAGAAAGUGGUUACGCUUCGAAGACUUGUUGCGGAAUCGGACUCCAUCAUUCAACAAAUCCCAUUCUACGAUCACGAGGCUACCUACUACUGCUUGAAAUCUGAGGAGCUUCUGAAAACCUGCACAUUUCUCCUGAAAGAAAUCUCCAAGGCCUCCACACUACAGUAGAG
Fundulus heteroclitus (mummichog) is the source of this 392-nucleotide long non-coding RNA. RefSeq lists it as uncharacterized. The transcript is spliced from 4 exons. NCBI's taxonomy places the organism in Eukaryota, Metazoa, Chordata, Actinopteri, Cyprinodontiformes, Fundulidae. The record is from RefSeq and is a predicted model, not a curated record.